Molecule: ribosomal RNA, 459 nt
Filed under: uncultured Symbiodinium
Lineage: Eukaryota; Dinophyceae; Suessiales; Symbiodiniaceae
Description: partial Bacterial large subunit ribosomal RNA
Rfam family: Bacterial large subunit ribosomal RNA
Source: RNAcentral
GCCUAGGUGUCAGUUGGGAUUUAAGAUCAAGACCGCUGUUUAAUUGGGGCGAUGACCUUAUCUAAGCCACCUAAGGUGAACAAAGCGAUACAAGGAUCCUUAACAUGCCCAACUAAUAAGUGCAAAGAUACAUGUUUCGCUUAAUGGCCCGGUGAGUCCUUCCCAGUACUUAAAUGCUGUCUUAGUGAGCUUUAAAUUAAUUUACCAGCACCAAGCUACUCUACGGAUAACAGGCUUAAUUUCGGCAAUACGGAAGCUCACAUUAUCAAGAAAAAUGCACCUCGAUGUCGGCUUAUCGUCACCAAAAUCUGUAGCUGGUUUAUUGGUGGGAGUGCUCAUCCCGUAAAUCGGUACGUGAGCUGGGUUCAGAACGAUGUAAAUCAGUUUGGUCUAUAUCUUUAAUCAUAACACAAGAAAUGCAUUGUUUUCUCAGUACGCAAGGACCAGAAAGAUUAAGCU